Molecule: ribosomal RNA, 481 nt
Filed under: uncultured bacterium
Lineage: Bacteria
Description: partial 16S ribosomal RNA
Rfam family: Bacterial small subunit ribosomal RNA
Source: RNAcentral
GAUGAACGCUGGCGGCGUGCUUAACACAUGCAAGUCGAACGAAGCAUUUGCGACAGAUUUUUUCGGAAUGAAGUUGCUUAUGACUGAGUGGCGGGCGGGUGAGUAACGCGUGGGUAACCUGCCUUGUACUGGGGGAUAGCAGCUGGAAACGGCUGGUAAUACCGCAUAAGCGCACAAUGUUGCAUGACAUGGUGUGAAAAACUCCGGUGGUAUAAGAUGGACCCGCGUCUGAUUAGCUAGUUGGUGAGAUAACAGCCCACCAAGGCGACGAUCAGUAGCCGACCUGAGAGGGUGACCGGCCACAUUGGGACUGAGACACGGCCCAGACUCCUACGGGAGGCAGCAGUGGGGAAUAUUGCACAAUGGAGGAAACUCUGAUGCAGCGACGCCGCGUGAGUGAAGAAGUAAUUCGUUAUGUAAAGCUCUAUCAGCAGGGAAGAUAGUGACGGUACCUGACUAAGAAGCUCCGGCUAAAUACGUG